RNAcentral lists this ribosomal RNA (253 nucleotides) under uncultured bacterium. Its description in RNAcentral is "partial 16S ribosomal RNA". It matches the Rfam family "Bacterial small subunit ribosomal RNA", at positions 524 to 776 of the family's 1533-position model. The record is from RNAcentral.
UACAGAGGUGGCAAGCGUUGUUCGGAAUUACUGGGCGUAAAGGGCGCGUAGGCGGCCAUCUAAGUCAGACGUGAAAUCCCCCGGCUUAACCUGGGAACUGCGUCUGAUACUGGACGGCUGGAGUUUGGGAGAGGGAUGUAGAAUUCCAGGUGUAGCGGUGAAAUGCGUAGAUAUCUGGAGGAACACCGGUGGCGAAGGCGGCAUCCUGGACCGGCAUUGACGCUGAGGCGCGAAAGCCAGGGGAGCAAACGGG